UACGAAGGGAGCUAGCGUUGUUCGGAAUUACUGGGCGUAAAGCGCACGUAGGCGGGUCGUUAAGUCAGGGGUGAAAUCCCAGAGCUCAACUCUGGAACUGCCUUUGAUACUGGCGACCUAGAGUCCGGAAGAGGUUAGUGGAAUUCCCAGUGUAGAGGUGAAAUUCGUAGAUAUUGGGAAGAACACCAGUGGCGAAGGCGGCUAACUGGUCCGGUACUGACGCUGAGGUGCGAAAGCGUGGGGAGCAAACAGG
RNAcentral lists this ribosomal RNA (253 nucleotides) under uncultured bacterium. RNAcentral's name for it is "partial 16S ribosomal RNA". It matches the Rfam family "Bacterial small subunit ribosomal RNA", at positions 524 to 776 of the family's 1533-position model. The record is from RNAcentral.